This 253-nucleotide ribosomal RNA is filed under the name uncultured bacterium. Its description in RNAcentral is "partial 16S ribosomal RNA". It matches the Rfam family "Bacterial small subunit ribosomal RNA", at positions 524 to 776 of the family's 1533-position model. The record is from RNAcentral.
GACAGAGGGGGCAAGCGUUGCUCGGAAUCACUGGGCGUAAAGGGCGCGUAGGCGGGAUGGCAAGUCGGUCGUGAAAUCUCUCGGCUCAACCGAGAAACGUCGGCCGAUACUGCCGUUCUUGAGGGAUGCAGAGGAGACUGGAAUUCCCGGUGUAGCGGUGAAAUGUGUAGAGAUCAUGAGGAAGACCAGUGGCGAAGGCGGGUCUCUGGACAGUUCCUGACACUGAGGCACGAAGGCCAGGGGAGCAAACGGG